GACGAACGCUGGCGGCGUGCCUAAUACAUGCAAGUCGAGCGAAGUUUUUCUGGUGCUUGCACCGGAAAAAGUUGGGGGCGAGCGGGUAAGACACAAGUAAAGAACCUCCGUCUUAGGCGGGAACAAUGGUAGGAAAGGAUAGUAAUGACCGGGAAAAGGCUUUACAUGCGUGGUUGAUGUUAAAAAGUUGGUUUGGCGAAGAGUAUGAGAUGGAUUUGCGUUGUAUUAGCUUGUUGGUGGGGAAAGGGCCUACCAAGGCGACGAUGCAUAGCCGACCUGAGAGGGUGAUCGGCCACACUGGGACUGAGACACGGCCCAGACUCCUACGGGAGGCAGCAGUAGGGAAUCUUCCGCAAUGGGCGAAAGCCUGACGGAGCAACGCCGCGUGAGUGAAGAAGGAUUUCGGUUCGUAAAGCUCUGUUGUUAGGGAAGAAUGAUUGUGUAGUAACUAUACACAGUAGAGACGGUACCUAACCAGAAAGCCACGGCUAACUACGUG
RNAcentral lists this ribosomal RNA (499 nucleotides) under uncultured bacterium. RNAcentral describes it as "partial 16S ribosomal RNA". It matches the Rfam family "Bacterial small subunit ribosomal RNA", at positions 28 to 507 of the family's 1533-position model. The record is from RNAcentral.